UACGAAGGGGGCUAGCGUUGCUCGGAAUCACUGGGCGUAAAGCGCACGUAGGCGGACUCUUAAGUCGGUGGUGAAAUCCUGGAGCUCAACUCCAGAACUGCCUUCGAUACUGAGAGUCUCGAGUCCGGGAGAGGUGAGUGGAACUGCGAGUGUAGAGGUGAAAUUCGUAGAUAUUCGCAAGAACACCAGUGGCGAAGGCGGCUCACUGGCCCGGUACUGACGCUGAGGUGCGAAAGCGUGGGAAGCAAACAGG
This 253-nucleotide ribosomal RNA is filed under the name uncultured bacterium. RNAcentral describes it as "partial 16S ribosomal RNA". It matches the Rfam family "Bacterial small subunit ribosomal RNA", at positions 524 to 776 of the family's 1533-position model. The record is from RNAcentral.